GGAGAGGUGGCCGAGUGGUUGAAGGCUCCAGUCUUGAAAACUGGCGUGGUUUUUACAACUACCGAGGGUUCGAAUCCCUCCUUCUCCG
This 88-nucleotide transfer RNA is filed under the name Closterium setaceum. RNAcentral's name for it is "tRNA-Ser". It matches the Rfam family "tRNA". From Rfam's summary of the family: Transfer RNA (tRNA) molecules are approximately 80 nucleotides in length. Their secondary structure includes four short double-helical elements and three loops (D, anti-codon, and T loops). Further hydrogen bonds mediate the characteristic L-shaped molecular structure. tRNAs have two regions of fundamental functional importance: the anti-codon, which is responsible for specific mRNA codon recognition, and the 3' end, to which the tRNAs corresponding amino acid is attached (by aminoacyl-tRNA synthetases). tRNAs cope with the degeneracy of the genetic code in two manners: having more than one tRNA (with a specific anti-codon) for a particular amino acid; and 'wobble' base-pairing, i.e. permitting non-standard base-pairing at the 3rd anti-codon position. Lineage: Eukaryota; Viridiplantae; Streptophyta; Zygnematophyceae; Desmidiales; Closteriaceae. The record is from RNAcentral.